Molecule: long non-coding RNA, 310 nt
Filed under: Homo sapiens (human)
Lineage: Eukaryota; Metazoa; Chordata; Mammalia; Primates; Hominidae
Description: HSALNT0189003
Source: RNAcentral
AAGCAAAGGCACCUUUUCUGAAUUUCAGUCAUUACCUAUUAUAAAGAAUAGGCAGCUCCUCUAGUAGUUCUUGGUUCAGAUCUUCAAACACAGUCUGGGCUUUGUUGAACUCUUCCUCUGCCUAGGUGGUAAAAGAGACAAGACAAUCUCCCUCAAUUCUGAACCCAGUACUACAGCAUGCCUCCUUCAUCCUCUGCAUUUUUUUAGGCACUAGGCUUUUUAGGAGCCAUCCCUCUUCUUCCCCUGACCAUGCCCUCCCCAGCCUCAAGACUCUGACUAUCCUUACAGCAUCAGUGUCAGAAGAAACAGA